This 800-nucleotide ribosomal RNA is filed under the name uncultured bacterium. RNAcentral describes it as "bacterial SSU rRNA". It matches the Rfam family "Bacterial small subunit ribosomal RNA", at positions 65 to 873 of the family's 1533-position model. The record is from RNAcentral.
AACGAACUUAACCAUUAGUUUACUAUUGGAGCGGUUAGUGGCGGACUGGUGAGUAACACGUAAGCAACCUGCCUAUCAGAGGGGAACAACAGUUAGAAAUGACUGCUAAUACCGCAUAUGCCUUAGAAUCACAUGGUUCAAAAGGGAAAGGAGCAAUCCGCUGAUAGAUGGGCUUGCGUCUGAUUAGCUAGUUGGUGGGGUAAUGGCCUACCAAGGCGACGAUCAGUAGCCGAACUGAGAGGUUGAACGGCCACAUUGGGACUGAGAUACGGCCCAGACUCCUACGGGAGGCAGCAGUCGGGAAUAUUGCGCAAUGGAGGAAACUCUGACGCAGUGACGCCGCGUGCAGGAAGAAGGUUUUCGGAUUGUAAACUGCUUUAGACAGGGAAGAACAAAGACAGUACCUGUAGAAUAAGCUCCGGCUAACUACGUGCCAGCAGCCGCGGUAAUACGUAGGGAGCGAGCGUUAUCCGGAUUUAUUGGGUGUAAAGGGUGCGUAGACGGGAAGUCAAGUUAGUUGUGAAAUCCCUCGGCUUAACUGAGGAACUGCAACUAAAACUGAUUUUCUUGAGUACUGGAGAGGAAAGUGGAAUUCCUAGUGUAGCGGUGAAGUGCGUAGAUAUUAGGAGGAACACCGGUGGCGAAGGCGACUUUCUGGACAGAAACUGACGUUGAGGCACGAAAGUGUGGGGAGCAAACAGGAUUAGAUACCCUGGUAGUCCACACCGUAAACGAUGGAUACUAGGUGUAGGGGAUAUUAAAAUUCUCUGUGCCGCCGCUAACGCAAUAAGUAUCCCACC